AAUCUUCCGAAUUGGACGAAAGUCUGACGGAGCGAUGCCGCGUGAGUGAUGAAGGACUUCGGUUCGUAAAACUCUGUUGUUAGGGAAGAACAUGUACCGGAUCAAUAUGCCGGAACUUUGACGGAACCUAACCAGAAAGCCCCGCCUACCCACUUUCCACCAGCCGCGGUAAUACGUAGGGGGCAAGCGUUGCCCGGAAUUAUUGGGCGUAAAGGGCACGCAGGCGGUUAUUUAAGUCUGAUGUGAAAUCUUGUGGCUUAACCACAAGCGGUCAUUGGAAACUGGAUAACUUGAGUACAGAAGAGGAGAGUGGAAUUCCACGUGUAGCGGUGAAAUGCGUAGAGAUGUGGAGGAACACCAGUGGCGAAGGCGGCUCUCUGGUCUGUAACUGACGCUGAGGUGCGAAAGCGUGGGUAGCGAACA
This 423-nucleotide ribosomal RNA is filed under the name uncultured bacterium. Its description in RNAcentral is "partial 16S ribosomal RNA". It matches the Rfam family "Bacterial small subunit ribosomal RNA", at positions 360 to 774 of the family's 1533-position model. The record is from RNAcentral.